CAGGGCAGCCCAAAAUGAUGGAGGCCGGGUGAGCAAGCGGCUGAGGUGCUGCAGGGAGCCUCGGAGGGGCGAAGCGGCGUGUCAAUGAGCGGUCCCAGAAGGAGCCGUGUGGCCACUGUUGGAACUGGAUACGCAUUUGAGGCGCCACAGGCGAUGACAGCCACGGUGUCUGUCUCUGGAAGGAGCAGCUGAUGAAGAGGAACCAAGUGACUGCAGGGCCGUCCUGGUUUGCCAAUGCGCGGCACGCAGGUUUUCUGCUGUGGAUGGUUCCAGAUGCCCGGCCCUCUGAAAGCUAAGGCACAAGCUUUAGCGUGGCAACAUGUAAAUGGCAGAGGGGGCAAGGACAAGUGGCUGAGGUGCCGCAGGGAGCCUCGGAGGGGCAAAGCCAUAUGCCGAUGAGCGGUCCGAGAAGGUGCUGUGUGGCCACGUUUGGAACUGGAUGCCCGUUUGAGUAUUUUAAUUGUCGGUGAUGAAGAGGAACCAGUCAGCAUCUUCUGUUGCAGAUGGUUCUAGAUCCUUGGCCCUCCUAAAGCUAAGUUGAGGGACUGCAGCUGGGGAGGGAGUGGGAUGAGGUUGGGAGUUGCAGGGGAGGGGUUUUAAAGUUUAGUGUAGGGGAGAGGGCUGACCAGGAGCUGUCCCCUUUGGGCAGGCAAAGGGAGCAGGUUACUUGUCAGCACUGUGCUAGACUGUGCUGGGCAGGGCAGUUCCAGCCUGUGUCUGUGGCAUGUUUGUUGUGUGUCUUGUCUUCUGUGUCUUAGCCCUUCCUCUGGUCUCAAUGCCCUAUUUGUGAUCAAGGGGCAUGGCAUGCUUCUCAGGUGCCAUCGCUAGGAUCUCAAAUGCCCAUACUCAUCGGCAUAGUGCCAAUUGGGUGCUUCUUUGAUUGCAUAGCCAGCCUUACAGCCUGGAUGGAUCUUGUGUCUCAGAAGUUUUUGGUGGGUCUUCUUUUUGCAGCCUCUUUGCAUGCUGCGUCAGGAGAGCUGACAUUUACAGCCAUCCAUUUUAACAGAAUGGGGCUUCCUCCCUGCAUCCUUACAUUCUUAGGUCUUGAACACAGGCUUCUUGCCACCUCUGUCCUGUUGUUUUUGACGGUAACUUCUUAUAAUGGGCCAUUACAGUCCAUCCUUUUCUGGCAUUGCUAUAGGGCUUGCUGGCCUGGGUGUUGUACUCUGUAGGUAGUCUUGCUCGGCAGUGUCUCUGGUCAGGCAGUCCUUCUUGCUGAGAGUUUUCUCUCCUCAUCCUUGAGUCACAUUCUUUAUAGCGUUGGUCUUCGCAUGCGUUGUGGUGGGUUGACCCUGGCUGGGGGCCAGGUGCCCACCAGAGCUGCUCUCUCACUUCCCUCAUUCACCAAACAGGGGAGAAAAGGCAUAACGAAAUGCUUGUAGGUUGAGAUAAGGACAGGGAGAGAUCACUCACUAAUUAUCAUCAUGAGCAAAACAGACCAAACUUAGAGAGGGAAUUCAUCUAAUUUAUUACUAGGCAAAACAGAGUAGAGGAAUGAGAAAAUAAAAUCAACUCUUAAAACACUUCCCCCCACCCCUCCCAUCUUCCCGGGCUCAACUUCACUCCCGGCUUCAACCUUCCCCCCCUCAGUGGCACAGGGGGACGGGGAAUGGGGGUUACGGUCAGUUCAUCUCAUGGUGUUUCUGCCGCUUCUUCAUCCUCAGGGGGAGGACUCCUCUCAUCGUUCCCCUGCUCCAGCAUGGAGUCCCUCUCAUGGGGUGCAGACCUUCAGGAGCAAACUGCUCCAGCGUGGGGUCCCAAGUCCUGCCAGCAAACCUGCCCUGGCGUGGGCUCCCCUCUUCACGGGUCCACCGGUCCGGCCUGGAACUUGCUCCAGCGUGGGCUUCCCACGGGCCGCAGCUUCCUUCAGGUGUCUCCACCUGCUCCGGUGUGGGGUCCUCCACGGGCUGCAGGUGGAAUCGCUACACCCCCUCAUCCUUCCUCCAUGGGCUGCAGGGGGACAGCCUGCUUCACCAUGGUCUUCACCACGGGCUGCAGGGGGAUCUCUGCUCCGGCACCUGGAGCUCCUCCUCCCCCUCCAUCUGCACUGACCUUGGUGUCUGCAGAGUUUCUUACAUCUUCUCACUCCUCUCUCCGGCUGCAAAAGCUCUCUCUCUCUAAGUGUUUUUCUUCUUAAAUAUGUUAUCACAGAGGCACUGAUUGGCUUGGCCUUGGCCAGCGGCGGGCCUGUCUUAGAGCUGGCUGGCAUUGGCUCUGUCAGACACGGGGAGCUUCUAGCAGCUUCUCACAGAAGCCACCCCUGUAGCCCCCCCGCUACCACAACCUUGCCAUGCCAACCCAACACAUGCGUGCAUUUUGUCGUGGAGCUGCUCUGCCCUGGGUUGUUGAGUCAGGGUUAGGUGGAAUAGCCAUAAGAGUGUAGGGUUAGUAUGUUGAUAUGCCCAGACUGCUUGGGCAAAGGUUGUGUAGUUGCCUCAGAUGGAGUAGCUGUUGCCAGGCUGUGUUGGAGAGUCAUUUCCAUAGUGGUCUGUGGACAUGAUGGGAGCUGCCUGGGAGGGGCUAUUCAGGGGUGAUAAAAGCAGAUUGACUCUCAAAGGGGUGAAAGGCCUGUCUGUGUGGGGCUGAAAGUUUGGGGUUUUUUUCUUCUAAUUGCAGUGUGUAGUUGGACUGUAGAUGCCAUUUGAAAUUGUUCAGCUAUUGCUCUGCAUCCUGGUGCGUUCUUGUUAUGGUUUAGCCCCAGCUGGUAGCUGAGCACCAUGUGAUUUUUUUUUUUUUUUUUUAGGUGCACAGCAGGGAAAAGUACCCAUGCACCUCUUUGUGGCACCCCAGCCAGAUAAUUGGGGUGCAAAGUAAUGAAAUGUGCCUGUGUGCCCCUUUCCAAGGUGCCCCAGCCAGAAAUUGGGGCACACCAGCUCAAAAUCAAGGUGUUGCCACAAAUAUAGAUUUUGUUAUGUGGUUUUAAUUUAGUAGCAAUCAGGACUUAUUAAUAUUUUUGGGACAGAUAACAGUAUUAGCUUACAUAAUUAUUAAUGGCACUUAAUCAUCAGCUAGUCUAACUAUGCUUUUCAAUGGAAUUUUUUACAAUCAAAACAGUGAGUUAGUUAAAAAUUUGAGCAGGGCUAGGGUGACCCAAAACUUACAGCAGGGUUGCAUGCACAGAUGGGGGUUAAAUCAAAUCACACGUCUAGACAGGCUGACAAACAAUCCUGGAUUGUUACAGGCACACAGACAGGCAAAUAGUUUUUAACCAAACUGUACAGGCACACACACACGUGGAGCUUGAUGUACGAAUAAAAUUUCCAAUUUCAUGACACACUCACUUCUAUGUGCUGGCAUUUGUCAAAGGGUAAUUAGCAAAUCCUGCAAAAUCGGGCCUUUGAGUCCUUACAAAACCAUGGAUGCAUGAUCUUUGAAUCCUCUUGAAAUCUCCCCUGCGAGGUCUUCCAGCUCAGGGGAGAUCCUGGCUCACACAGUCCACCGCUGUCACAGAGAACCCAAAGGUCUUACUUUUGGAUCAUAAGAUGAUUGUGAGAGCAUCGCAUUGAGCAGGUCUGUCACAUCCCCUAUCAUGCACCAGCCUCUGGGAACAUCCGACGAUAAGAUGGACUGCUAAAGACUACUCUGAGAGCAAUGGGUAGUGGGACCCUCAAACACUAGGAGACACAUUUAGCAAAGGGCACCUGGUUAGACAAUGACAGGGGAUCUGCCAAUCGAGCUGGCCCUGCCCAAUAUAAACUUCCAUGUACUGUACAAGGAGAUAAAAGUCCCCCACAGUGCGUAUGAAGAAUAGAUUUGGGAAGAUAGUCUGGGUUAGCCCUGCUUCGGACAAAAACAAACCCAUCUGUGAGAUUGCUUUUGCUCAGGGACCUGGGUGCACUCGGUGGGUGAUACAAAAGGAUGGGGCGGUCGAAUGUGUAUCUCAAGGGGAUCUGAUUUUGGGUGUGAAUAGCCAAUAAAUUAAAUUGCAUGAUGUGAAUUGCUAAAUAACUCUACUAUCAUAUGUCAUAGCUACUACAAUUGCUAUAUGCUCUAUCCACAGUAUUACCACAAGAAUCACCCAAAUUAAUGAAGGAUGAACUUUGCUCAGUUUCAUCAAAGCAUAGCAAUGAUGGAACUAGAACUGACUUCAGUGACUGGCGCUCAGCAAGUUCCUUGAAAUCAACAACUUCGAGGCUCAGACCCUGAGCAUGGACCACACCAGCUAUGCCAGAUGUGAGCUCCAGAAGCAGCCACAACACUCCAACAGUCUACAGCCUUGCUCCUGACCUGAGAGACUGUUAGAGCAGAUGGAGCUCCAAGUCAUGGACUAAAUGAACUCAAUGGACAUUUUAGAGGCAUGGCCCAUAGCCUAAGUGAAUGAUAUCUGUGUGUCUAACUUUUUUUAUAUAUAUGUAAAAGAGAAGGAAAGUGGUGGUGAUUAAUUGGAAUUGUUGGAUGAGGGCAGGAUGUAGAUGGUUUAGAAUAAAGGGUGGAUAAUAUCUGGUUUUGGCUGGGAUAGAGUUACAUUUCACCAGAAGGGAAGGGGCAGGGCAGCUAUUUGUGUAGCCACUGAGGAUGGGGCUGGCCCUCCUGCACCAAGGGCUGUGGCUGGGGAGGGGGUCGCCUGUGCUUGCCUAGCCUCGGGAGCUCACGUAAGAGAGAAACAAAGGGGCUGUCACAGACAGCUGCCUCUGACAAGGAACAGCCAGUCCCUGCAGCGAGGAAGGAUCCCUCCCAGCGUUCCCCAACAAGGGUCCACCAUAAGCACACAGCACCAGGAGUUUGGUGCCUCAGGCAGCCGCGUGUGUGAGCUGCUGUGCGUCCAGGAAGCCUGGUGGGAGAGGAGCGGCGAGGUACCCGCCACCUGCUCCCGGGUAGGCGAGCAUCAGGUAGCCAGCAGUGCAGAGGAGGCAACGCCACCAGUUGCCAGCAGCGCACUGUUGUGCAUUCUGGCGGUGACCGGUUGUCGCUGUGGAGGGGAAAUGUGCAGUAGAUGUAUGUGGCACAGCGGCUGAACGAUGCGGUGGGGUGAUGCUCUGGUAGCACCUGGCCAGUGCUGUUGGACCUACCCCUGGACAACUGUAUCCUGCAGCAGGGUGGAAAGGGGGAGAA
This is a long non-coding RNA of Grus americana (Whooping crane), 5052 nucleotides long. RefSeq lists it as uncharacterized. The record is from RefSeq and is a predicted model, not a curated record. Lineage: Eukaryota; Metazoa; Chordata; Aves; Gruiformes; Gruidae. The transcript is spliced from 9 exons.